This 345-nucleotide unclassified non-coding RNA is filed under the name soil metagenome. Its description in RNAcentral is "partial contains 5.8S ribosomal RNA, internal transcribed spacer 2, and large subunit ribosomal RNA". The stretch from base 1 to 120 matches the Rfam family "5.8S ribosomal RNA", at positions 35 to 154 of the family's 154-position model. The record is from RNAcentral.
GAUGAAGAACGUAGCGAAAUGCGAUACGUAAUGUGAAUUGCAGAAUUCAGUGAAUCAUCGAGUCUUUGAACGCACAUUGCGCCCUCUGGUAUUCCGGAGGGCAUGCCUGUCCGAGCGUCAUUGCUGCCCUCAAGCACGGCUUGUGUGUUGGGCUCCGUCCCCCGAUCCCGGGGGACGGGCCCGAAAGGCAGCGGCGGCACCGCGUCCGGUCCUCGAGCGUAUGGGGCUUUGUCACCCGCUCUGUAGGCCCAGCCGGCGCUUGCCGAUCAACCAAAUUUUUAUCCAGGUUGACCUCGGAUCAGGUAGGGAUACCCGCUGAACUUAAGCAUAUCAAUAAGCGGAGGA